CCAGACUCCUACGGGAGGCAGCAGUGGGGAAUAUUGCACAAUGGGGGAACCCUGAUGCAGCGACGCCGCGUGAGGGAAGACGGCCUUCGGGUUGUAAACCUCUGUCGCAGGGGACGAAGAAGAUGACGGUACCCUGUGAGGAAGCCACGGCUAACUACGUGCCAGCAGCCGCGGUAAUACGUAGGGAGCGAGCGUUGUCCGGAAUUACUGGGUGUAAAGGGAGCGUAGGCGGGGAUGCAAGUUGGAUGUUUAAACUAUCGGCUCAACCGGUAAUUGCAACCAAAACUGCAACUCUUGAGUGAAGUAGAGGCAGGCGGAAUUCCUAGUGUAGCGGUGAAAUGCGUAGAUAUCAGGAGGAACACCGGUGGCGAAGGCGGCCUGCUGGACUGCGACUGACGUUGAGGCCCGAAAGCGUGGGGAGCAAACAGGAUUAGAUACCCCUGUACAC
This 448-nucleotide ribosomal RNA is filed under the name uncultured bacterium. RNAcentral describes it as "partial 16S ribosomal RNA". It matches the Rfam family "Bacterial small subunit ribosomal RNA", at positions 331 to 795 of the family's 1533-position model. The record is from RNAcentral.